GGCUGGUAAAAGUGAGUGCAGUGGUGUUUGGUAUUUACAAAUCAUUGAUCGUAACACUCCCACUGCUUUACUGUCUAGCCUUUA
This 84-nucleotide small RNA is filed under the name Otolemur garnettii (small-eared galago). Its description in RNAcentral is "Y RNA (ENSOGAG00000023815.1)". Lineage: Eukaryota; Metazoa; Chordata; Mammalia; Primates; Galagidae. The record is from RNAcentral.